GUUUACUGAGACACAAGGAAAUAGCUCCAAGGGUGACAUCCAUCACAUUCACGCAGCGACUUGCAACAGUUUGCUCUAAACCACACUCUGUGAGUAAGCGCUGCAGGUGGAGAUCAAAGCACACCUCAGUGGGUUCUGGGUCAUGCACAGCCACAAAUCUGAGAGGGGAAGAGGUCUUCCCAACAUUUACAGAACUGCUUUGGAAGCUCUGCAUGUCUAAGCUUCAGCUUGCAGGUGGAAUCCUUCAGUACUGCAAGCUCUGA
Molecule: long non-coding RNA, 263 nt
Filed under: Cyanistes caeruleus (blue tit)
Lineage: Eukaryota; Metazoa; Chordata; Aves; Passeriformes; Paridae
Description: lncRNA (ENSCCEG00000018134.1)
Source: RNAcentral